RNAcentral lists this long non-coding RNA (543 nucleotides) under Salmo salar (Atlantic salmon). RNAcentral's name for it is "lncRNA (ENSSSAG00000094373.1)". The record is from RNAcentral. Lineage: Eukaryota; Metazoa; Chordata; Actinopteri; Salmoniformes; Salmonidae.
UGGCUGAGCUACAGCAGUGUUGAUCAGACAAUGAGACAGCCCAUCUGCGGUGGAAGGUGGCUGAGCUACAGCAGUGUUGAUCAGACAAUGCGACAGCCCAUCUGCGGUGGAAGGUGGCCGAGCUACAGCAGUGUUGAUCAGACAAUGAGACAGCCCAUCUGCGGUGGAAGGUGGCCAAGCUACAGCAGUGUUGAUCAGACAAUGAGACAGCCCAUCUGCGGUGGAAGGUGGCUGAGCUACAGCAGUGUUGAUCAGACAAUGAGACAGCCCAUCUGCGGUGGAAGGUGGCCGAGCUACAGCAGUGUUGAUCAGACAAUGAGACAGCCCAUCUGCGGUGGAAGGUGGCCGAGCUACAGCAGUGUUGAUCAGACAAUGAGACAGCCCAUCUGCGGUGGAAGGUGGCCGAGCUACAGCAGUGUUUAUCAGACAAUGAGACAUCCCGAAAAUCGGUCUUCUAACGAAAACGUCUGUUCGUCCAAAAGGUUUGGCCUAAAAACAAUCUGACCACUAUGGAUUGAUUUGACUGUUGCGAACACGAUGGUG